RNAcentral lists this ribosomal RNA (273 nucleotides) under uncultured Staphylococcus sp. Its description in RNAcentral is "partial 16S ribosomal RNA". It matches the Rfam family "Bacterial small subunit ribosomal RNA", at positions 89 to 354 of the family's 1533-position model. The record is from RNAcentral. Lineage: Bacteria; Bacillati; Bacillota; Bacilli; Caryophanales; Staphylococcaceae.
ACGUUAGCGGCGGACGGGUGAGUAACACGUGGGUAACCUACCUAUAAGACUGGGACAACUUCGGGAAACCGGAGCUAAUACCGGAUAAGAUAUCGAACCGCAUGGUUCGAUAGUGAAAGAUGGUUUUGCUAUCACUUAUAGAUGGACCCGCGCCGUAUUAGCUAGUUGGUGAGGUAACGGCUCACCAAGGUAACGAUACGUAGCCGACCUGAGAGGGUGAUCGGCCACACUGGAACUGAGACACGGUCCAGACUCCUACGGGAGGCAGCAGGU